RNAcentral lists this transfer RNA (71 nucleotides) under Chalcorana labialis. RNAcentral describes it as "tRNA-Ile". It matches the Rfam family "tRNA". From Rfam's summary of the family: Transfer RNA (tRNA) molecules are approximately 80 nucleotides in length. Their secondary structure includes four short double-helical elements and three loops (D, anti-codon, and T loops). Lineage: Eukaryota; Metazoa; Chordata; Amphibia; Anura; Ranidae. The record is from RNAcentral.
AGAAGUGUGCCUGAAAGCUAAGGACCUCCUUGAUAGGGAGACUCAUAAGGGUUCAAAUCCCCUCACUUCUU